This is a long non-coding RNA of Ictalurus punctatus (channel catfish), 3586 nucleotides long. RefSeq lists it as uncharacterized. NCBI's taxonomy places the organism in Eukaryota, Metazoa, Chordata, Actinopteri, Siluriformes, Ictaluridae. The transcript has 2 exons. The record is from RefSeq and is a predicted model, not a curated record.
UGAAAUCUGUAAUUAAUGGCGACAGCACGAAAAGCAAGGCACCAUUUCAAACCACAGACCAAAGAACUUGGCUAACAUGAUAAUUCUGCUGAUUUUCAAAUCUGAUUUAUAAACAGCUGAUCUGCUGGACUGAAGGACUGAGACUGACAUGUGAGACAUCCUGGUCAGAGUCUUACAUUUACGGUGUAUUAACUCUGAAAGGGAGUUAAAUCUUUGUCUUAUUCUAACUGUAACUAAAGUAACAUAACAUAAUCGAAUAUAUUCCAUAAAGACAGAAUAUUACAUUACUCUUAUUUUAGCGAUGCAUAUGUAGGGGAGCCUACAAAGUCUAUUCGGUAAAGACUUUUAUUUUGAUAUUGCGAUGACGUUUACACCGCCAUUUUGUGCGAGGAGAGGCGGGGUGAGAGGGAAUUAGAGCAGCGGCGGGAGUUGAGCUGAUGAGUGAACUUCGGGAAUAUUACAGCGGUAAAAAAAAAGUUCAGUUUAGACCCGUGACGUGUUCCAGAGACACAUUACGUUGUUUCUAAAAAUCCGUUUGUCUUUAACGAGUCUGUUCUAGAAGGCGAUAAAACGGGUUUUCCUUCGUGUGUGUGUGUGGAGCGGGGAAAUAGGCCUGUUAGCGCUUACAGAGUUAUUAUCCGGUGUAGUCGAAAACUCCCGUGUUUUCUUUAUGUUUCACAUAAAGUUUUGUUUUGUUUUGUUUUGUUUUGUUUUGUUUUGUUUGUUCAAACGAACUCAGAACGUAACGGAUGCCAUUACUUAUGGUGUGAGAAGAGUUGGCUGACUUAUCGGAUAGGGUUGUGUAUUGUCCGUCUUCUCCACUGGAUCUCCGUUAGCCGGGAUUGCGGCCUCGCUGGAUCAAGCUUCAGUCUUCAGCGUGAGCACAAUCGCUAAGGGUCAUUGGGUGGAGAGACAUUACUCUGCCUUCUGCUGGACAUUCAGCGCCUCAUCAAAGUUAUAAGAGUGGUGAUGUACAUUAUGCUUCCCAUCUUCAACUGAACACUAUGAUGAGUAGCAACCCGGUCCACCUGUGACUGUACUGAAAGGCUUGAAGGGCUUCUUACAUGCUAAACGGCGUCAAGCAGGGUUGUGUCCUGGGGCCAACCCUGUUCAGCCUCAUGUUCUCCGCAAUGCUGACUGACACCUUUGGAGACGGUGAUGCUGGGAUAGGCAUCAAGUACCGCACAGAUGAUAAUCUGUACAACCUCAGGUUGCUCCAAGUGAAAACCAAGGUUUCGACAGACAUCAUCAGGAACUUCCUCUUUGCUGAUGACCGUGCCCUUAACAAUAGCACAGAAACGGACAUGCAACGCAGCGUUAACAGGUUUUCUAGUGUCUGCACAAACUUCCUUCUCACCAUCAACACCAAGAAGACUGAGGUCAUUCAUCAGCCAGCCCAGGGAAGCCCUAUACAGAGUCCAACAUCACUGUCAAUGGUCAGAGACUGAAAACAGUGACCAAGUUCACCUCGGCAGCACGUUGUCACAAAAUGCCACAAUAGAUGACGAAGUUAACGUCCGCAUUGCGAGAGCCAGCUCAGCUUUCGGGAGAUUGUAUGCCAAGGUUUGGAACCGAAGAGGCAUCACCAUCCAGACCGAGCUGAAAGUGUACAGGGCAGUUGUGCUCCCCACACUGCUGUAUGCAUGUGAAACGUGGACAGUGUGCCAACGUCAUGCCAGGAAACUGAACCAUUUUCACACCACCAGUCUCAGGAAAAUCCUUGGCAUCAAGUGGCAGAACAAAGUCCCAGACACUGUGGUUCUCAAUCAAGCAGGCCUCCUAAGCAUCUUCACCAUCUUGAUGACGACCCAGCUACGCUGGGCAGGACGUGUGAUACGCAUGACAGACCAACGUCUACCAAAGAGACUCCUCUAUGGCAAGCUCCAGCAAGGUCAGCGUUGCCAAGAAGGCUAAAAGAAACGCUUCAAAGAUACCCUUAAAGCCUCACUGAAAGCGUUUAACAUCAAUCCUGCCUCCUGGGAACAGACUGCAUUGGAUCGUGACACCUGGCACUCCUCCAUCCACAAGGGCUCUUUGCUGUGUGAGAUAAAUUGGAAAGCUGCAGCCGAACGAAAGAGGCAAGCCAGAAAAACCUGUGCCAGCAACCUUCCCGGAGACGUCCACCCCAUCCCCUGUCCCACCUGCCUUAGGACUUUACGUGCAGAGAUUGGCCUGACUAGCCAUCUACGCAUGCUUCAUCUCUGAUGACAAAAUGGUCUUCGUCGCCACGACGGACAACUAAGAAGAACUAGGAAGUUCUCCUUGUUGAGUGCUGUAUUGAGGCUAAGCCGGUAAUUUUGUAAACACUCUCGAGUUUAUCUCUCAGGUUUCCCGUCUCUCUGAAGCUUUCUCGCUGUGUCAGAUCAAACCUCUUGGACCUUGUCCCUUGGGGUUCCUCUGGUUUUCUCCAGUUCCUUGCUUUAAAAAAAAAAACUUGUUUACUUAUUUCCUUUGUAAGUCAGUCCUCUCUGACCUUUUUAUUUUCCAGUUUACUCCUCGUGAGCAUGGUCCAUGGUCGGUUUGUGUAGGGUUGGUAGUUCACUGCGCUGCAUGUAGGUCUCUCCAUCCUCCAGCCUCAGGUUCAAGUCCAGUGUGGCGUAACCCUUUGUUUCCCCCUCUUUGGAGUUGUUCUUCCUUAAGUUUAUUUCUCGAGGCCUAGCCCUAAUUACUGAGAGAGUAGUUAGUCAGUGUUCCUUGGUAGUUAAUGAAAGAGGAUUCGUUCUUUGGGUGUUCUAGUCCUGCAUAUUUAUGUAUGAACUAUGAAACAGUAUUGUACAUUACUCGUGUUUGUGUUAUUUGUAUCUGUCAAAACAUGUUUAGUGUAAUGGUAUAAAUCUUAAAAAACAAGUAGGACCAAACGUCAUUAUAAUUAUUAAUUUAAUGGAAUAUAAAAAGUCCAGAGUGCAGUAGGAACAUGACAGCGACAGAAACACAAACCAGUUAUGAUUACAGUAGAAGAAAUUAGCUUUACUUUAAUAAUGUACUUUAGACACAAUUUCAUGUCUUUUCACUGUCCUAAAUACUCUGCACUGGUGUAGGGGUGGAAAAGAACAAAAAAUAGCGCCUUCACUCAUAUUUCUCACUAGGGUUUUGGUCUUCCAGAGCAUCGUUGGUGAGAUUCACGAUCUGAUCGAGCGCCUUGAGGAUCGGAACAUCCAUGUCAUUGUUUGAACUUGAGUUCGUGCAUGGCCAGGAAGUGUAGUUCUUGUCGGCCGUGUUUGUAGUUGGCACUGCAUUCUGGGAACUGCAGUUGCGAGUUCACCACAAUGUGACACUAAUAUACACCAUUUAAUUACACAAUUACCUUUUCUCUGAUCUUCUUGCUGGUGUAGACCUUUCUUAGGUCCUCUUUAACCAGUUUGCAGGCUUCGUCCUCUUUUUUUCCAAGAUGAUUACGUGAGGCAAAUCUGUACAAUAGGAUUAAUACCUGCAGUGUUUAAUUCUUAUCAUAGUCAUUUAUCACUGAUUACAAUUUUUAUUAAUUAAAGUUUUAUCAAUUAGAUGCAUUCUGUGUUGUGGAACAUCCAUGAUAGAAGUUAUCUUCUGUUAUCGCUUCUGCUCUCGCAGCUAUAAACAGUUUCUCUUA